UGCGGAAUUUUAGAUAAUGGAGGGAACUCUGAUCUAGCGACGCCGCGUGCAGGAAGAAGGUCUUCGGAUUGUAAACUGCUGUGGUAAGGGAAAAAUGCUAUGUAGAGUGGAAAGCUACAUAGAGGGAUGGUACCUUACUAGAAAGCCCCGGCUAACUACGUGCCAGCAGCCGCGGUAAUACGUAGGGGGCGAGCGCUACCCGGAAUCACUGGGCGUAAAGGGAGCGUAGGUGGCCUAACAUGUCAACUGUGAAAACCCGGAGCUCAACUCCGGACGUGCAGUUGAAACUGGUAGGUUUGAGGACGGUAGAGGAAGACGGAACUGCCAGUGUAGGGGUAAAAUCCUGAGAUAUUGGCAGGAACGCCGGUGACGAAGGUGGUUUUCUGGGCCGGUUCUGACACGGAUGCUCGAAAGCCAGGGGAGCGAACGG
Molecule: ribosomal RNA, 430 nt
Filed under: uncultured bacterium
Lineage: Bacteria
Description: bacterial SSU rRNA
Rfam family: Bacterial small subunit ribosomal RNA
Source: RNAcentral